This 2125-nucleotide long non-coding RNA is filed under the name Zostera marina. RNAcentral's name for it is "long non-coding RNA (ZMAR_LNC002680)". The record is from RNAcentral. Lineage: Eukaryota; Viridiplantae; Streptophyta; Magnoliopsida; Alismatales; Zosteraceae.
AAAAAGAAAAGAAAAGGAAAACGGAAGGAGGGGGGCUAGGAGAAAGGGAGGACGGGGCAUCGUGGCUUGGAUCUGUUAGGGGGCACCGAUGUCGUGGUGUGGGAGGUGUGAGGCUCGACAGGCAGCGGAAAAGGUAUGUAGAGUUACAUAUUCUCAAUAUCAUGUAUAUAUAGGGUUGAUGGAGGGUAAGGAAGAUUCUAAUCCGUUAAGGAUGGAAAUAUUAGAUCUUCCGAUGAAUGUGACGAGAUGAUGAAAGGUAUGAUCUGAAAAGAAGAUUAAGGGGGCGAUAGAGUGAAAUAGUUGUUAAGAAAAUGUGGGGAGGGAGAAAUGUGUUUAUUUUUGCUAAAGUUUAAUAAUAUUUUUAAUUUUUAAUUAUGGUGAAGUUAUCAUGAUGUAAGGUGACCAACAGAUCUGAUCUGGAAUAAUCUGAUUUAUUCCUACCCAGAUCUCAUUAUUAAUAUAUGUAAAAUAAGUUACUAUUAUGAUAUGUUAACAUGUUAACUAUACAGUUAGGUUAAUAAGACUGUUAAUAUGUUAACUAUACUGUUAUAUUAUUAUGAUACUAAAUUGAUAUGUUACUGCUAUAUGAUUGUUAAUAUAUCAAUAUGUUAACUAUACUGUUAAUAUGUUAAUAAGAAACAGUAAAAAAAAUAUGUUAAAAUAGCUACUGCUAUAUGACUUAUACUAGAUUGAUACUAUUAGUUUAAAAGAUAUAAGUUGUAUAAUUGUUAUGAUGCUGAUCAGAUUUAGUGCUAUAAGUUUUACAUCCAAACUUGGUGAUUGUCAUGCAAGUAGGAUUAUGAAAUACCAUAUAUUAUUUUAUGAAUGUUUAAUCCGUGGUAUGUUUUAACUCUAUAUUUCUUUUACUGUUUCAGAUGUUAAAAAUACUAUAGGGAUGCAUAUCAUGUUAAAUUAUAGAAUGUCUAUUAAGUGUCAUGUUUCGAUUGGGUUUUUUGUGCUAAUUUGAAAUGAAGAAAUACGGUAUUAUUAGAUCGGGGGUUUCGUGUGAUAUUUUUGAUGACAUGUGGGGGUGAGAAUAGAAUCUGAGCGGGGUAGUUUCAUAAUAAAUUAAGUUUGAGUUGAAAUAAUUAGUAAUUGAUUUCAUGACCAUGAUUGCUAAUUGAUUUAAUUGAAUGAAAUUGUUGCUGAUUGAAACUUGAGAAAAUGAUUAGGGGAGUGAUUGCAUGAAUGAACAUGGGAACAAGGGUAGAAAUGCACGUGUAAAUGAGUUAAAGAAUGGAUGAAUGAUUGCAUAAAUGAACGAACGAAGGAAUGAAUGAAUGAAUGAAUGUAUGAGUGAGACAUGAUCGGGGUGUUUUGACGCCUAACCGACGGUAAAUGAUGAAUGACGAUCCAUCUGGGUCUUAUGAAUGAUGAUUGAUUGAUGAACUAGAUUAGGGGUUUACUUAUUUCUUGCUUAUUAUGUGCAUCCUUUACUAAUUGUAGUGUGAAAUAGCUUGAUAUCUGAGACAGGAUAGUAUGGAUCGAUGCUUUACAUACUGAGUGAUGAAAUCACUCGAUACAUACUAUGUUGCAGGGAAUAAAGGCAGUCUUGCUUAGCUGGAAUGGUAGGAAGCAAAGGACUCGUCGAGGCGACGAGACUAGCUUGCGUAGAACAUAACUCUUAUAGUCAUUGUUGUCUAUUUUGGGUUGUAAUAAAUACGAACUUAGAAUUCUUAAAGACUGAAUAUGUUAGAAUUUUGUUAUAUUCAAAUUCUGUUAGGGAAACAUGAUAUUAUAAGUCAUGUUAGUGUAUUAAAACUCUGUGUGGGAAGUAGAGUUUUACACUCUACCUCACAGACACCAUCACAGGCAACCCCCACCAAUGUAAACCCCACCACCUUCUGCUUCUACAAACAAUGUUGCCUACUACAAGGUCUAUUGUGUUGGAUCGUGAUCCGAGGCUAUAAGGGGGGAUAAUAGUCUCUUUUCGAUUUAUGCAGAUUAAUAACGAAAUUACCUGCACACACUUAAGUACACAAAUAGUUGUAUGAUAAUAAUAGUAUAAUAUUGUUAGCAUAUAAUACUAUUAUAUGAUUUUAAGGAAUAUAAUAUUAUAUCUUAUAAUAUUAUAUAUAGAACUUGUCUUUUUCUCUUAAAAUUUACUACAGUAUAUGAAUACAGA